CAUACCUAAACGCACACCUUCUUCCUUCUCUCUCCUCCUCUCUUCGCCGUCUGUCGAUCUCGCCGUGCAUCAUUCUCGGUGUUCAUCGACCUUCUUUUCUAGCAUCAUCUCAUCUUCUCUGAUUUCUCCUUAGUCGUUGUCUCACCUCGUCUCUUGUUCUCUGUCGUUCUUUCUUCUCAGUUCCAUCUUCUACUUAGUCAUACCUUCCUUUUGUUGCUAACAUAUAGAGUUGUCGUCAUAGGUGCAUUGUAUCCUCUUGACUGCAGAAACUGAAGCUUUGAAUCACUUGAUGUCACAGUCGCAGAAUUGGCUAUAAGCUCUCGUGGAUUAGAUGCUGGAGAUCUUAGAAUUGCUGAACAUAUAACUCUUAAGAAGCUUGAGAACAGAAUCAAGAUUCACCUCGUCAUGUAACGUGUUGGCUCGUUGUAGAGAUUAAUAAGUGGACAAAAGAGAAGGAGGUUACAGUGGGCUUUACAAAUGAACAAACGAAUUUCUUUUAUGUAUGCAUAGCUUUUGGAGAAGUGAAAUUAGAGUCUAAGAUAUAUUCCAUUAAACCCGUAAUUAUUGUUUGUAAUCGCUAACUACUUCUGAUUUGGUUGUGAUGGUUCUUCUUUCAUUGUGUUAAUACUUAUGUAUGUUACUGUGUUAAUAUGUAUUUCAACCUCAAGUUCAUGUGUUAAUACUAAUGUAUGUAACUA
Molecule: long non-coding RNA, 698 nt
Organism: Capsella rubella
Lineage: Eukaryota; Viridiplantae; Streptophyta; Magnoliopsida; Brassicales; Brassicaceae
Exons: 2
Source: RefSeq, a predicted model, not a curated record